UGUAAAUAACUUGUUUAAAGUUUGGGGAAUAUAGAAGGAAGUUAAGAAAAAUAAUUUAUAAUUUUAGUAAUUUUUAAUGAAAAUUAAGUAAAGACUAGAGAGAAAAGUACUGUGAAGGAAAGUUGUUGAGAUUUUAUAUAGAAAAAGUAAAAUUUUGUGCCUCGUGUAUCAGAAAAAAUUUAUAUAAUUUAGUUAAUGGUAAGUAUCUCGAAAUAAAAUAUAGUAAUUUUUAUAAAAUUUUCUUUUUAGAAAAAAAGAAUUUAAUAUAAAAUUUAAAGUGAAAUGCUAGCUGAGUUUUAUGAUAUCUAGUUUUUUAAAAAAUAAAUUUAAUUUAAUUUUUACGAAGAAAGAAUUGUAAAAUUAAAUGGUAGGGGGGAUUAGCUCUUUACGGAAAAGUCAAUGAAAUAGGUAGAUAUAAAGAAAUUAUAUAAAUUAGGCUUAGAAGUAGCUAUAUUGAAAAAGUGUUUUAACUAAAUUAUAAUUACUUGAAUAUUUAAGAUAACUUUUGUUAGGUAUUAAAAAAACGGUUUAAACAAAAUAAAACGAAAUAUAAUGAUUUUAUUAGUAAAAUUUAUUAAGUAAAUAAAAAU
This 590-nucleotide ribosomal RNA is filed under the name Macrophthalmus japonicus. RNAcentral's name for it is "partial 16S ribosomal RNA". Lineage: Eukaryota; Metazoa; Arthropoda; Malacostraca; Decapoda; Macrophthalmidae. The record is from RNAcentral.